RNAcentral lists this ribosomal RNA (119 nucleotides) under Salvator merianae (Argentine black and white tegu). Lineage: Eukaryota; Metazoa; Chordata; Lepidosauria; Squamata; Teiidae. The record is from RNAcentral.
ACCUACGGCCAUACCACCCUGAACACGCCCGAUCUCGUCUGAUCUCGGAAGCUAAGCAGGGUCGGGUCUGGUUAGUACUUGGAUGGGAGACNGCCUGGGAAUACCGGGUGCUGUAGGCU